Molecule: ribosomal RNA, 347 nt
Filed under: uncultured bacterium
Lineage: Bacteria
Description: bacterial SSU rRNA
Rfam family: Bacterial small subunit ribosomal RNA
Source: RNAcentral
GACGAACGCUGGCGGCGUGCUUAAUACAUGCAAGUCAACUUGACUUUAGAUAGCAAUAUCGAAAAGUAGGGUGGCGCACGGGUGCGUAACGCGUAGGUAAUCUGCCCUGAGGUCUGACAUAACCCGUCGAAAGGCGGGCUAACAUCAGAUGAUAUAUAAUCACGACAUCGUGGAAAUAUCAAAUCUUCGGAGCCUUGGGAUGAGCCUGCGUCUGAUUAGGUAGUUGGCGGAGUAAUAGCCCACCAAGCCUACGAUCAGUAGCUGGUCUGAGAGGAUGAUCAGCCACACUGGAACUGAGACACGGUCCAGACUCCUACGGGAGGCAGCAAGUAAGGAAUAUUGCUCAA